UACGUAGGUGGCAAGCGUUAUCCGGACUUACUGGGUGUAAAGGGCGUGUAGGCGGGAAAGCAAGUCAGAUGUGAAAACCAUGGGCUCAACCUGUGGCCUGCAUUUGAAACUGUUUUUCUUGAGUACUGGAGAGGCAGACGGAAUUCCUAGUGUAGCGGUGAAAUGCGUAGAUAUUAGGAGGAACACCAGUGGCGAAGGCGGCUUACUGGACUGUAACUGACGUUGAGGCUCGAAAGCGUGGGGAGCAAACAGG
Molecule: ribosomal RNA, 253 nt
Filed under: uncultured bacterium
Lineage: Bacteria
Description: partial 16S ribosomal RNA
Rfam family: Bacterial small subunit ribosomal RNA
Source: RNAcentral